ACAUCUGGGGGUGCUGGCGGUGCCCGGCACAAGAUGUAUGCUCGUGCUCGCUGUCGCCGCAGGGGAAUCCGGUGCGAAUCCGGAACUGUCCCGCAACGGUGUACUUGUGCGUGUUCGCGUCUCCACGUGUCCGCGCACGGGCUUGAGUCCGAGGACCUGCCGACAGUGCGCCCGGCCG
This is a non-coding RNA of Streptomyces ambofaciens ATCC 23877, 178 nucleotides long. The record is from Rfam. NCBI's taxonomy places the organism in Bacteria, Bacillati, Actinomycetota, Actinomycetes, Kitasatosporales, Streptomycetaceae.